Molecule: ribosomal RNA, 550 nt
Filed under: uncultured bacterium
Lineage: Bacteria
Description: bacterial SSU rRNA
Rfam family: Bacterial small subunit ribosomal RNA
Source: RNAcentral
UAGGGAAUCUUCGGCAAUGGACGGAAGUCUGACCGAGCAACGCCGCGUGAGUGAAGAAGGUUUCCGGAUCGUAAAGCUCUGUUGUAAGAGAAGAACGAGUGUGAGAGUGGAAAGUUCACACUGUGACGGUAUCUUACCAGAAAGGGACGGCUAACUACGUGCCAGCAGCCGCGGUAAUACGUAGGUCCCGAGCGUUGUCCGGAUUUAUUGGGCGUAAAGCGAGCGCAGGCGGUUAGAUAAGUCUGAAGUUAAAGGCUGUGGCUUAACCAUAGUAGGCUUUGGAAACUGUUUAACUUGAGUGCAAGAGGGGAGAGUGGAAUUCCAUGUGUAGCGGUGAAAUGCGUAGAUAUAUGGAGGAACACCGGUGGCGAAAGCGGCUCUCUGGCUUGUAACUGACGCUGAGGCUCGAAAGCGUGGGGAGCAAACAGGAUUAGAUACCCUGGUAGUCCACGCUGUAAACGAUGAGUGCUAGGUGUUAGACCCUUUCCGGGGUUUAGUGCCGUAGCUAACGCAUUAAGCACUCCGCCUGGGGAGUACGACCGCAAGGUUG